This 1872-nucleotide ribosomal RNA is filed under the name human gut metagenome. RNAcentral's name for it is "bacterial LSU rRNA". It matches the Rfam family "Bacterial large subunit ribosomal RNA", at positions 3 to 1973 of the family's 2925-position model. The record is from RNAcentral.
UCAAGCUACAAAGAGCGUAAGGGGAAUGCCUUGGCACCAGGAGCCGACGAAGGACGCAGCGAUCUGCGAAAAGCCACGGGGAGCCGAAAGCAGGCUUUGAUCCGUGGAUAUCCGAAUGGGGAAACCCGCAUGGUUAAUAGCCAUGCGACGUAUACUGAAUAAAUAGGUAUGCGUCGGGAACCGUCUGAACUGAAACAUCUAAGUAGGACGAGGAAAAGAAAUCAACCGAGAUUCCGUAAGUAGUGGCGAGCGAACACGGAAGAGGCCAAACCGAAGGUAGCAAUAUCUUCGGGGUACGGACAGUAAACGGCAUUGCGGUAUCUUAGCAGAAGUGCAUGGGACGGCACACCAUAGAGAGUGAUAGUCUCGUAAGCGAAAAGAGAAGGCAGCCAACUGUAUCCAGAGUACCGCCGGACACGUGAAACCCGGUGGGAACAUGGGGGGACCAUCCUCCAAGCCUAAAUACUCCCUGGUGACCGAUAGAGAACAGUACUGUGAAGGAAAGGUGAAAAGAACCCCGGGAGGGGAGUGAAAAGAACCUGAAACCUUAUGCUUACAAGCACCGAGAGCCCAUCAAAGGGUGAUCGGGUACCUUUUGUAGAAUGGUCCGGCGAGUGAAUGUAACUGGCAAGGUUAAGCACUUAAGGUGUGGAGCCGAAGCGAAAGCAAGUCUUAAUAGGGCGUCAAGUCAGUUGUAUUCGACCCGAAACCGUGUGACCUAGCCAUGAGCAGGCUGAAGUGGAGGUAAAACUCCAUGGAGGGCCGAACCCACUCCCGUUGAAAUGGUAGGGGAUGACUUGUGGCUAGCGGAGAAAUUCCAAUCGAACUCGGAGAUAGCUGGUUCUCUCCGAAAUAGCUUUAGGGCUAGCCUCGAUUUGACAUUACCGGAGGUAAAGCACUGAAUGGGCUAGGGGCCGAGAGGUUACUGAACCCUAUCAAACUAAGAAUGCCGGAUAAUGAUAAUCGGGAGUCAGACAGUGUGAGAUAAGUUUCAUUGUCAAAAGGGAAACAGCCCAGACCCACAGCUAAGGUCCCAAAGUACAGUUAAGUGGUGAAGGAUGUGGAAUUGCAUAGACAACCAGGAUGUUGGCUUAGAAGCAGCCACUCAUUAAAAGAGUGCGUAAUAGCUCACUGGUCGAGUGAUUCUGCGCCGAAAAUUUAACGGGGCUAAAUUGUACACCGAAGCUUGGGAUACAUCUAAUGUAUGGUAGGAGAGCGUUGUAUACGGGGUGAAGUCAGAGCGGAAGCGCUGGUGGACUGUAUACAAGUGAGAAUGCCGGAAUGAGUAGCGAGAAUUAUGUGAGAAUCAUAAUGGCCGAAAGACUAAGGUUUUAGAAGGAAGGUUCGUCCGCUUCUAGUCAGCCGGGAGCUAAGGCGAGGCCGAAAGGCGUAGUCGAUGCACAUACGGUGGAGAUUCCGUAGCCGCCAUUAAUUUAAACAGAGGGACACUUUCAAGGGGCAUGACCCGGGCGUUGGUAGACCCGGGCGUAAGGGACCGAAGAUUAGUAGGGAAGCAUGCUUUAAGGAAGGCGAGAAAAGCUCUGUGUAUAGAAGAUGGCGCCCGUACCGCAAACCGACACAGGUAGUCAGGAAGAGAAUUCUAAGGCCAACGGGAGAAGGGUAGUUAAGGAACUCGGCAAAUUGACCCCGUAACUUCGGAAUAAGGGGUGCUCACGAGAGUGAGCCGCAGUGAAUAGGUCCAGGCGACUGUUUAUCAAAAACACAGCUCUCUGCUAAAUCGAAAGAUGACGUAUAGGGGGUGACACCUGCCCGGUGCUGGAAGGUUAAGAGGAAGGGUGCAAGCUCUGAAUUGAAGCCCCAGUAAACGGCGGCCGUAACUAUAACGGUCCUAAGGUAGCGAAAUUCCUUGUC